AAGUCGUAACAAGGUAUCUGUAGGUGAACCUGCAGAUGGAUCAUCAUUGAUUCUUUUACCUGGGAGGAAUCAAACUUCGUGUCUGUUUCUUCCCGCAAGGUGUGGCUCCGCACCUUUUCAAUCUAAACUGGGCUACCAUUUUACCACACGGUUGCAUCUUGUCGGGGAAGCGCUUGUCGCGAUCCCGGCAAACCACAAUUAACACACGCUGAUCUUUAGGAUUUGUAUGGUUUUAUGAUAACGUCUGGUAAUGCGGUCGUAUAAUCUUUAAAAACAACUUUUGGCAACGGAUCUCUUGGUUCUC
RNAcentral lists this unclassified non-coding RNA (304 nucleotides) under air metagenome. RNAcentral's name for it is "partial contains small subunit ribosomal RNA, internal transcribed spacer 1, and 5.8S ribosomal RNA". The stretch from base 1 to 46 matches the Rfam family "Eukaryotic small subunit ribosomal RNA", at positions 1786 to 1831 of the family's 1831-position model. The record is from RNAcentral.